RNAcentral lists this long non-coding RNA (300 nucleotides) under Pelobates cultripes (western spadefoot toad). The record is from RNAcentral. Lineage: Eukaryota; Metazoa; Chordata; Amphibia; Anura; Pelobatidae.
CCCUAUUCUGCUCUGUGUCAGUGUGUAUCAUGGUCUCUGAGGACAGGUGUCAAUCCAUAUGUCAAGGUGUCAAUAUGUCAGGUGUCAAUCCAUAUCCAUUGUGAUUUAGGAAUGUUAGGUGAUUUCUGCCCUUUAUGGAUUAAAACCAGACUCUGCAUCAACUGUGUACUUUUCCAUGGGAGUUUUGCCAUGGAUCCCCCUCCGGCAUGCCACAGUCCAGGUGUUAGUCCCCUUGAAACAACUUUUCCAUCACUAUUGUGGCCAGAAAGAGUCCCUGUGUGUUUUAAAAUUCGCCUGCCC